Molecule: ribosomal RNA, 611 nt
Filed under: uncultured bacterium
Lineage: Bacteria
Description: bacterial SSU rRNA
Rfam family: Bacterial small subunit ribosomal RNA (bases 1-519)
Source: RNAcentral
CCUACGGGAGGCAGCAGUGGGGAAUCUUGCGCAAUGGGCGAAAGCCUGACGCAGCCAUGCCGCGUGAAUGAUGAAGGUCUUAGGAUUGUAAAAUUCUUUCACCGGGGACGAUAAUGACGGUACCCGGAGAAGAAGCCCCGGCUAACUUCGUGCCAGCAGCCGCGGUAAUACGAAGGGGGCUAGCGUUGCUCGGAAUUACUGGGCGUAAAGGGAGCGUAGGCGGAUAGUUUAGUCAGAGGUGAAAGCCCAGGGCUCAACCUUGGAAUUGCCUUUGAUACUGGCUAUCUUGAGUACGGAAGAGGUAUGUGGAACUCCGAGUGUAGAGGUGAAAUUCGUAGAUAUUCGGAAGAACACCAGUGGCGAAGGCGACAUACUGGUCCGUUACUGACGCUGAGGCUCGAAAGCGUGGGGAGCAAACAGGAUUAGAUACCCUGGUAGUCCACGCCGUAAACGAUGAGUGCUAGUUGUCGGCAUGCAUGCAUGUCGGUGACGCGAGCUACGCAUUAAGUACACUCCGCCGUCGGGAGGUACGGUCGCGAAGAAUUAAACUUAACAAUAGAAGUUAGACGGCGUAGAGACGUGCCGACGGACGACCGACGAGGGAGGUUAGG